Molecule: microRNA, 21 nt
Filed under: Homo sapiens (human)
Lineage: Eukaryota; Metazoa; Chordata; Mammalia; Primates; Hominidae
Description: hsa-miR-4800-5p
Source: miRBase by way of RNAcentral
AGUGGACCGAGGAAGGAAGGA